AAACCGUAUUUAUAAACUUAUGUACAAAACUUAAUAAUCUAGUAAACUUUUAAGUAGCUUAAAACCAGAGCA
Molecule: ribosomal RNA, 72 nt
Filed under: Agalychnis callidryas (red-eyed leaf frog)
Lineage: Eukaryota; Metazoa; Chordata; Amphibia; Anura; Hylidae
Description: partial 16S ribosomal RNA
Source: RNAcentral